UACGGAGGGUGCAAGCGUUAUCCGGAUUCACUGGGGUUAAAGGGUGCGUAGGUGGGCUGGUAAGUCAGUGGUGAAAUCUCCAGGCUUAACUUGGAAACUGCCAUUGAUACUAUCAGUCUUGAAUACCGUGGAGGUCAGCGGAAUAUGUCAUGUAGCGGUGAAAUGCUUAGAUAUGACAUAGAACACCAAUUGCGAAGGCAGCUGGCUACACGAAUAUUGACACUGAUGCACGAAAGCGUGGGGAUCAAACAGG
This 253-nucleotide ribosomal RNA is filed under the name uncultured bacterium. RNAcentral describes it as "partial 16S ribosomal RNA". It matches the Rfam family "Bacterial small subunit ribosomal RNA", at positions 524 to 776 of the family's 1533-position model. The record is from RNAcentral.